Molecule: long non-coding RNA, 620 nt
Filed under: Rosa chinensis
Lineage: Eukaryota; Viridiplantae; Streptophyta; Magnoliopsida; Rosales; Rosaceae
Description: sRNA RchiOBHm_Chr6g0280201
Source: RNAcentral
AAGUUGCGAUACAAAGCUCCUAGAACUGCUGGAUUGUAAAAAUUGCUCAACUCUUGGACGUUGUAUGCUUAUGUAAGGACCCUUUGCUUUAUGGUCAGUUAGGAUAUUUUUGCUCAAGUUUGUGAUCACCUUUGAAUUAUGCUAUCAAUUGUUUUGAAUGGAAAAUUGAUAAUUCGUGCUCUUGAAGAAAAUGCUAGAGCUUCCUACAAUUUGGACACUCUUUGAACUACAGAGCCGUUUGAAAAAGAACCAAUUCAGAUGCUGAUGAAAAAAGUUGAUGCAUUGAUGAAAGCCAUGGAGCGGAGUCUAUGCAAAUAAAGAAAGAAAGAAGCCGUAGCUAAAGAUAAAGAAGCUGUAGCAGCUAAGGUGGAUGCCAACAAAAAGAACAGAAUUAUAAACUCAUCUAAGAGGUUGUAAUCACUUUUCAACAGCCUCAAUACCAUUCUUUCCUUUUGUAUUUUGCUUCUGUAGCAUCAUCCCUUUCAAACAUUAAAAAUUUUCAAAUCUGAUCACCUGAAUAUAUGAUUGAUUUUAUGAUUUACUUCUAAUUGCUGGGGGUAACAAAAGCAUCUUGAAUGUUUGCUUACACGAGAUUUAUUGAAGAUCAUGUGGAGAUUUAG